AGUGAACGCUGGCGGUAGGCCUAACACAUGCAAGUCGAACGGCAGCACAGUAAGAGCUUGCUCUUACGGGUGGCGAGUGGCGGACGAGUGAGGAAUACAUCGGAAUCUACUUUUUCGUGGGGGAUAACGUAGGGAAACUUACGCUAAUACCGCAUACGACCUACGGGUGAAAGCAGGGGAUCUUCGGACCUUGCGCGAUUGAAUGAGCCGAUGUCGGAUUAGCUAGUUGGCGGGGUAAAGGCCCACCAAGGCGACGAUCCGUAGCUGGUCUGAGACGAUGAUCAGCCACACUGGAACUGAGACACGGUCCAGACUCCUACGGGAGGCAGCAGUGGGGAAUAUUGGACAAUGGGCGCAAGCCUGAUCCAGCCAUACCGCGUGGGUGAAGAAGGCCUUCGGGUUGUAAAGCCCUUUUGUUGGGAAAGAAAGGCAGCAGGUUAAUACCCCGCUGUUCUGACGGUACCCAAAGAAUAAGCACCGGCUAACUUCGUG
RNAcentral lists this ribosomal RNA (492 nucleotides) under uncultured bacterium. RNAcentral's name for it is "partial 16S ribosomal RNA". It matches the Rfam family "Bacterial small subunit ribosomal RNA", at positions 29 to 507 of the family's 1533-position model. The record is from RNAcentral.